CGGGAAAAGCUCAAAUUUAAAAUCUGGCGGUCCCUGUGGCCGUCCGAGUUGUAAUUUAGAGAAGUGUUAUCCGUGCUGGACCGUGUACAAGUCUCCUGGAAUGGAGCGUCAUAGAGGGUGAGAAUCCCGU
RNAcentral lists this ribosomal RNA (130 nucleotides) under Mycena olivaceomarginata. Its description in RNAcentral is "partial large subunit ribosomal RNA". It matches the Rfam family "Eukaryotic large subunit ribosomal RNA", at positions 99 to 224 of the family's 3401-position model. The record is from RNAcentral. Lineage: Eukaryota; Fungi; Basidiomycota; Agaricomycetes; Agaricales; Mycenaceae.